RNAcentral lists this ribosomal RNA (433 nucleotides) under uncultured bacterium. RNAcentral describes it as "partial 16S ribosomal RNA". It matches the Rfam family "Bacterial small subunit ribosomal RNA", at positions 29 to 507 of the family's 1533-position model. The record is from RNAcentral.
AACGAACGCUGGCGGCAUGCCUAACACAUGCAAGUCGAACGAGACCUUCGGGUCUAGUGGCGCACGGGUGCGUAACGCGUGGGAACCUGCCCUUAGGUUCGGAAUAACUCCCCGAAAGGGGUGCUAAUACCGGAUAAUGUCUUCGGACCAAAGAUUUAUCGCCUUUGGAUGGGCCUGCGUUGGAUUAGCUAGUUGGUAGGGUAAAAGCCUACCACGGCGACGAUCCAUAGCUGGUCUGAGAGGAUGAUCAGCCACACUGGGACUGAGACACGGCCCAGACUCCUACGGGAGGCAGCAGUGGGGAAUAUUGGACAAUGGGCGAAAGCCUGAUCCAGCAAUGCCGCGUGAGUGAUGAAGGCCUUAGGGUUGUAAAGCUCUUUUACCCGGGAUGAUAAUGACAGUACCGGGAGAAUAAGCUCCGGCUAACUCCGUG